This 588-nucleotide ribosomal RNA is filed under the name Staphylococcus aureus. Its description in RNAcentral is "partial 23S ribosomal RNA". It matches the Rfam family "Bacterial large subunit ribosomal RNA", at positions 12 to 596 of the family's 2925-position model. The record is from RNAcentral. Lineage: Bacteria; Bacillati; Bacillota; Bacilli; Caryophanales; Staphylococcaceae.
UAAGGGCGCACGGUGGAUGCCUUGGCACUAGAAGCCGAUGAAGGACGUUACUAACGACGAUAUGCUUUGGGGAGCUGUAAGUAAGCUUUGAUCCAGAGAUUUCCGAAUGGGGAAACCCAGCAUGAGUUAUGUCAUGUUAUCGAUAUGUGAAUACAUAGCAUAUCAGAAGGCACACCCGGAGAACUGAAACAUCUUAGUACCCGGAGGAAGAGAAAGAAAAUUCGAUUCCCUUAGUAGCGGCGAGCGAAACGGGAAGAGCCCAAACCAACAAGCUUGCUUGUUGGGGUUGUAGGACACUCUAUACGGAGUUACAAAGGACGACAUUAGACGAAUCAUCUGGAAAGAUGAAUCAAAGAAGGUAAUAAUCCUGUAGUCGAAAAUGUUGUCUCUCUUGAGUGGAUCCUGAGUACGACGGAGCACGUGAAAUUCCGUCGGAAUCUGGGAGGACCAUCUCCUAAGGCUAAAUACUCUCUAGUGACCGAUAGUGAACCAGUACCGUGAGGGAAAGGUGAAAAGCACCCCGGGAGGGGAGUGAAAUAGAACCUGAAACCGUGUGCUUACAAGUAGUCAGAGCCCGUUAAUGGGUGA